RNAcentral lists this long non-coding RNA (850 nucleotides) under Homo sapiens (human). Its description in RNAcentral is "HSALNT0283133". The record is from RNAcentral. Lineage: Eukaryota; Metazoa; Chordata; Mammalia; Primates; Hominidae.
GUGGGGCUGCCUCCUCUGUUUACAGUGGAGCAGCCCGACAGCCACUCUCCCCUUCCUGAACCUGCCAAAGACCUGGAGGAUUUAUUGGACACUCCCAUUGUUGGCAACUUCAUUCAUCACUAGAGUCUACACAGGGUUUUUACAGGACCACAUCAAAACCUUCACCCAUGGAACAGUGCGAGGUAUACUGCUGCUUCAAGCAUACCAGCGGCUUCAAGAACAACCAUCCCAAGCCCCCCAAGCCUUUCCCCUUGCACACCGCCCCUCUACAGCUAGAAGCAGUCAGAUGAUAAAGUCACUCCUCUUCCUUUAUCACCUAUUAAAGGCUGGAAUGUUAGAGAGCCAAGCUACCCCUCCUCCUCCUCCAUGACCUUUGCAAUACGGUCCUUUGUGACCACCUACAAACACCUCCCCACUUUUUCUACAGCCACUUCUGCAAGACUUUCAGUAGAACUGGUAAACAGUUCCAGGAUGUGGUUAAGACAUCUGCCCACCUUGCCUAGCCAAGCUUGCCUAGCCAAGCAGGCAAAAACAUUUCCAGGAAAUGGUUGAAACACCUGCAACUCUACUCAGUUUCCCCCACCCCAACCUAGCACCUUGCCCUAUAAAACCCCACAGCAGCCUGUAAGCGGGGCUACCUCCUCCACAGUGGAGCAGCCCAGCAGGUUAAUAAAAACUUGCUUGCCUGACUUUGGGGUCUCCUUGUUCCUUCUCUUGGCUAACCUUACGCUUACUUUAAGUUUACAUGAGUCCUUGUGUGUUAAAUGAGUCUCCUGAAGGCAGCAGAUGGUUGGUGAGUUCUUACCCAUUCUGCAGUUCUGUGUCUUUUAAGUGAAGCAUUUAGGCCAUU